This is a long non-coding RNA of Oncorhynchus masou masou (cherry salmon), 1079 nucleotides long. RefSeq lists it as uncharacterized. The record is from RefSeq and is a predicted model, not a curated record. NCBI's taxonomy places the organism in Eukaryota, Metazoa, Chordata, Actinopteri, Salmoniformes, Salmonidae. The transcript has 2 exons.
AAAGGAAUGCAUAUGUGAUAAAGCUGUUCAUCGACUAUACAGCACAGCCUUCAAUACCAUAGUGCCCAGUAAGCUCAUUACAAAGCUCAUGUCCCUGGGUCUGAACUCCUUAUGCAACUGGGUCCUGGACUUCCUAAUAACCCGCCCCCAGGUGGUAAAGGCCGGUGGUGGUUGGCCCGCUCCAGGCAGCUGAGGUGCGGGAGGUUCCUCCGCCCCCUCUGGACAUCGUACUGGACAGCGUACUCCGUUCGAUCCAUCCUGGAUUCGAGUCGUCGGGCGAGGGGCCUUCAGUACCUCGUGGAUUGGGAGGGGUACGGUCCGGAGGAGAGAUGCUGGGUUCUGAUGGAGGACGUGUUAGAUCAUUCCAUGCUGCGAGAGAUCCACCGUCUCCAUCCGGAUCGCCUUGCUCAUCAUCCUCCAGGCCGUCCUCGAUGGGGGGGGGGGGGGUACUGUUACAACUUCUGCCGAAGUCGAUGCCUCCCCUUGUUCGGGCGGUGCUCCAUUUUUCAUUUUCCAUUGGUUUUGUCUUGUCUUCCUACACACCUGGUUCCAAUCUCAUUCAUUACAGGUUGUGUAUUUAACCCUCUGUUUCCCCUUGUUACUCUCAUCGAAAUGAUCGGACCAAGGUGCAGCGUGGUAGGCGUACAUUUUAUCUUUAUUAAAAAUGAACACCUAAAAACAGCAAAAUGAAAACGAACAUAACAUUCGGUAGGCUACACAGAGUUGUACAAAAACAACAUCCCACAAAACUAAGGUGGAAAAACAUGCUGCCUAAGUAUGAUUCCCAAUCAGAGACAACGAUAGACAGCUGUCCCUGAUUGAGAACCAUACCCGGCCUAAACAUAGAAAUAAAGAACAUGGAGUUUCCCACCCGAGUCCCACCCUGACCAACCAAACAUAGAGAAUAAAAAGAUCUCUACGGUCAGGGCGUGACACCCCUCAUGUCCUUGUCAGAGAUUGUUUGUUUGUAUAUUUGUGUAUUAUGUAUUGGUGCGCGAUGGGUUCUUGUACUUUUAUUUUAUCUUGUAAUUUUGAUUAUGGAGUUGUCAAGUCUAUUAAACAACUUCCUUUAUAUCAAG